Molecule: ribosomal RNA, 508 nt
Filed under: uncultured bacterium
Lineage: Bacteria
Description: partial 16S ribosomal RNA
Rfam family: Bacterial small subunit ribosomal RNA
Source: RNAcentral
GACGAACGCUGGCGGCGUGCCUAAUACAUGCAAGUCGAACGCUUCUUUCCUCCCGAGUGCUUGCACUCAAUUGGAAAGAGGAGUGGCGGACGGGUGAGUAACACGUGGGUAACCUACCCAUCAGAGGGGGAUAACACUUGGAAACAGGUGCUAAUACCGCAUAACAGUUUAUGCCGCAUGGCAUAAGAGUGAAAGGCGCUUUCGGGUGUCGCUGAUGGAUGGACCCGCGGUGCAUUAGCUAGUUGGUGAGGUAACGGCUCACCAAGGCCACGAUGCAUAGCCCGACUGAGAGGGGUGUCGGGCACCCUGGGACUGAGGCACGGCCCCGGCCCCUACGGGAGGGCGCCGGAGGGAAUCUUCGGGCAUGGGCCGAAGUCUGGCCCGACCAAGCCGCGUGAGGUGAGGAGGUUUUUCGGUCGUAAAACCCUGUUUUUAGGGGAAAACCAGGACCUUAGUAACUGAACGUCCCCUGACGGUAUCUAACCAGAAAGCCACGGCUAACUACGUG